AUGCACGCUGGCGGCGUGCCUAAUACAUGCAAGUCGAGCGAACAGACGAGGAGCUUGCUCCUCUGACGUUAGCGGCGGACGGGUGAGUAACACGUGGAUAACCUACCUAUAAGACUGGGAUAACUUCGGGAAACCGGAGCUAAUACCGGAUAAUAUAUUGAACCGCAUGGUUCAAUAGUGAAAGACGGUUUUGCUGUCACGUAUAGAUGGAUCUGCGCCGCAUUAGCUAGUUGGUAAGGUAACGGCUUACCAAGGCGACGAUGCGUAGCCGACCUGAGAGGGUGAUCGGCCACAAUGGAACUGAGACACGGUCCAGACUCCUACGGGAGGCAGCAGUAGGGAAUCUUCCGCAAUGGGCGAAAGCCUGACGGAGCAACGCCGCGUGAGUGAUGAAGGUCUUCGGAUCGUAAAACUCUGUUAUUAGGGAAGAACAAAUGUGUAAGUAACUAUGCACGUCUUGACGGUACCUAAUCAGAAAGCCACGGCUAACUACGUG
Molecule: ribosomal RNA, 496 nt
Filed under: uncultured bacterium
Lineage: Bacteria
Description: partial 16S ribosomal RNA
Rfam family: Bacterial small subunit ribosomal RNA
Source: RNAcentral